This 144-nucleotide ribosomal RNA is filed under the name Desulfuromonadales bacterium. RNAcentral's name for it is "partial 16S ribosomal RNA". It matches the Rfam family "Bacterial small subunit ribosomal RNA", at positions 1390 to 1533 of the family's 1533-position model. The record is from RNAcentral. Lineage: Bacteria; Pseudomonadati; Thermodesulfobacteriota; Desulfuromonadia; Desulfuromonadales.
CCGCCCGUCACACCACGGGAGUUGAUUGUACCUGAAGCCGGUGGGCUAACCUUCGGGAGGCAGCCGUCUAUGGUAUGAUCGGUAACUGGGGUGAAGUCGUAACAAGGUAGCCGUAGGGGAACCUGCGGCUGGAUCACCUCCUUU